Molecule: ribosomal RNA, 251 nt
Filed under: uncultured prokaryote
Description: partial 16S rRNA
Rfam family: Bacterial small subunit ribosomal RNA
Source: RNAcentral
ACGGAGGGUGCAAGCGUUAUUCGGAUUUAUUGGGCGUAAAGGGCGCGUAGGCGGCCUAUCAAGUCGGAUGUGAAAGCCCGCAGCUUAACUGCGGAAGUGCAUCCGAGACUGGCAGGCUUGAGUAUGGGAGAGGGAGACGGAAUUCCCGGUGUAGCGGUGAAAUGCGUAGAUAUGGGGAGGAACACCUGUGGCGAAAGCGGUUCCCUGGACCAGUACUGACGCUGAUGCGCGAAGGCGUGGGGAUCAAACAG